CCUACGGUGGACAGCAGUGAGGAAUAUUGGUCAAUGGGCGCGAGCCUGAACCAGCCACGUAGCGUGAAGGAUGACUGCCCUCCGGUUUGUAAACUUCUUUUAUAAAGGAGUAAAGUGAGGCACGUGUGCCUUUUUGUAUUUACUUUAUGAAUAAGGAUCGGCUAACUCCGUGCCAGCAGCCGCGGUAAUACGGAGGAUCCGAGCGUUAUCCGGAUUUAUUGGGUUUAAAGGGAGCGUAGAUGGGUGGUUAAGUCAGUUGUGAAAGUUUGCGGCUCAACCGUAAAAUUGCAAUUGCUAAUGGCAGUCUUGAGUGCAGUUGAGGUAGGCGGAAUUCGUGGUGUAGCGGUGAAAUGCUUAGAUAUCACGAAGAACUCCGAUUGCGAAGGCAGCUUACUAAACUGCCACUGACAUUGAUGCUCGAAAGUGUGGGUAUCAAACAGGAUUAGAUACCCGAGUAGUC
RNAcentral lists this ribosomal RNA (460 nucleotides) under uncultured bacterium. RNAcentral's name for it is "partial 16S ribosomal RNA". It matches the Rfam family "Bacterial small subunit ribosomal RNA", at positions 338 to 795 of the family's 1533-position model. The record is from RNAcentral.